Molecule: ribosomal RNA, 309 nt
Filed under: uncultured bacterium
Lineage: Bacteria
Description: partial 16S ribosomal RNA
Rfam family: Bacterial small subunit ribosomal RNA
Source: RNAcentral
AGAGACAGCAGUAGCCGCGGUAAUACGUAGGUCCCGAGCGUUGUCCGGAUUUAUUGGGCGUAAAGCGAGCGCAGGCGGUUAGAUAAGUCUGAAGUUAAAGGCUGUGGCUUAACCAUAGUACGCUUUGGAAACUGUUUAACUUGAGUGCAAGAGGGGAGAGUGGAAUCCCAUGUGUAGCGAUGAAAUGCGUAGAUAUAUGGAGGAACACCGGUGGCGAAAGCGGCUCUCUGGCUUGUAACUGACGCUGAGGCUCGAAAGCGUGGGGAGCAAACAGGAUUAGAGACCCCCGUAGUCCCUGUCUCUUAUACA